GGGCACACUCUCCAGUCCCUGCCUGCUGGGAGCCUGCUGCUCCUUCCCCCAGAGCUCUGCCUGCCCCUGGCACGGCCCAGCCAUGCUGGCAACCCUGAUGACAGCUCUGUUCUUCGUGGUGAGAGCCUUUGGGCAGCUGGGCACCAGCCUGUUCCAAGAGGAGCCUCUGCCAUACCUGGUGUACCAGCCCCUGCCCUGGCAGAUCCAGUGUGUGACACAGAGCCGCCGCACCAGCCGGGACAGCGAGAGGGGCCGCAGCUCUCGGCACAGCAGCAUCCACUCCCUGCCGGGAGAGACAGGUGAGUGUGGG
This is a long non-coding RNA of Dryobates pubescens (Downy woodpecker), 310 nucleotides long. RefSeq lists it as uncharacterized. The transcript has 3 exons. The record is from RefSeq and is a predicted model, not a curated record. NCBI's taxonomy places the organism in Eukaryota, Metazoa, Chordata, Aves, Piciformes, Picidae.